ACGCUCGACACCUACGGGAGGGCAGCAGUGGGGAAUAUUGCACAAUGGGGGAAACCCUGAUGCAGCGACGCCGCGUGAGUGAAGAAGUAUUUCGGUAUGUAAAGCUCUAUCAGCAGGGAAGAAAAUGACGGUACCUGACUAAGAAGCCCCGGCUAACUACGUGCCAGCAGCCGCGGUAAUCUGAGCGGGCUGGCAAGGC
This 199-nucleotide ribosomal RNA is filed under the name uncultured bacterium. RNAcentral's name for it is "partial 16S ribosomal RNA". It matches the Rfam family "Bacterial small subunit ribosomal RNA", at positions 328 to 539 of the family's 1533-position model. The record is from RNAcentral.